GGGUUGCUAACUCAACGGUAGAGUACUCGGCUUAUCUACUCCAUCCGACUAGUUCCGGGUUCGAGUCC
RNAcentral lists this transfer RNA (68 nucleotides) under Ostrya japonica. RNAcentral's name for it is "tRNA-Lys". The record is from RNAcentral. Lineage: Eukaryota; Viridiplantae; Streptophyta; Magnoliopsida; Fagales; Betulaceae.